UACGUAGGGUCCGAGCGUUGUCCGGAAUUACUGGGCGUAAAGAGCUCGUAGGUGGUUUGUCGCGUUGUCCGUGAAAACUCACAGCUCAACUGUGGGCGUGCGGGCGAUACGGGCAGACUGGAGUACUGCAGGGGAGACUGGAAUUCCUGGUGUAGCGGUGGAAUGCGCAGAUAUCAGGAGGAACACCAAUGGCGAAGGCAGCUCGCUGGGACGGUACUGACGCUGAGGCGCGAAAGCGUGGGGAGCAAACAGG
This 253-nucleotide ribosomal RNA is filed under the name uncultured bacterium. RNAcentral describes it as "partial 16S ribosomal RNA". It matches the Rfam family "Bacterial small subunit ribosomal RNA", at positions 524 to 776 of the family's 1533-position model. The record is from RNAcentral.